This 593-nucleotide ribosomal RNA is filed under the name uncultured bacterium. RNAcentral's name for it is "bacterial SSU rRNA". It matches the Rfam family "Bacterial small subunit ribosomal RNA", at positions 338 to 944 of the family's 1533-position model. The record is from RNAcentral.
CCUACGGGAGGCAGCAGUGGGGAAUUUUCCGCAAUGGGCGAAAGCCUGACGGAGCAAUACCGCGUGAGGGAUGAAGGCCUAUGGGUUGUAAACCUCUUUUUUCAGGGAGGAAUAAAUGACGUGUACCUGAAGAAUAAGCAUCGGCUAACUCCGUGCCAGCAGCCGCGGUAAGACGGGGGAUGCAAGUGUUAUCCGGAAUCACUGGGCGUAAAGCGUCUGUAGGUGGUUAAAUAAGUCAACUGUUAAAUCUUGAGGCUUAACUUCAAAAUCGCAGUCGAAACUGUUUGACUAGAGUAUAGUAGGGGUAAAGGGAAUUUCCAGUGGAGCGGUGAAAUGCGUAGAUAUUGGAAAGAACACCGAUGGCGAAGGCACUUUACUGGGCUAUUACUAACACUGAGAGACGAAAGCUAGGGUAGCAAAUGGGAUUAGAUACCCCAGUAGUCCUAGCUGUAAACAAUGGAUACUAGAUGUUGAACAGAUCGACCUGUGCAGUAUCAAAGCUAACGCGUUAAGUAUCCCGCCUGGGAAGUAUGCUCGCAGAGUGAAACUANAGAGAGUGNGNGUUGAGUAGNGACGAGCGACGACGAGGAGAG